CCAAGGAGUCUAACAUGUGCGCGAGUCGUAGGGUGCGUAAGCAAAACCCGAAGGCUUAAUGAGAGUAGAGGUCGGCAAUUUGUUCGUCGACCGAGGCGGGAUCCGUCUUUGUUUUUUCUUCUUUUUAUUAUUUCUUUUAAUUUUAAAAAGAGAAAAAUUACCCUCCUUUUUUUUUUUAAAAAUUUUCUUUUUUCUCCUCUUUCGAAAGGGAGAGGGAAAGAGAGGUUUGGAGGGAGGGGUAAAGAACGGCGCACCGCCGGCCCGUCUCGACCGCAACGCCGGUGAGGCGGCGCAAUAGCGCACACGUUGGGACCCGAAAGAUGGUGAACUAUGCCUAGGCAGGACGAAGCCAGAGGAAACUCUGGUGGAGGUCCGUAGCGUUUCUGACGUGCAAAUCGAUCGUCGGACCUGGGUAUAGGGGCGAAAGACUAAUCGAACCAUCUAGUAGCUGGUUCCCUCCGAAGUUUCCCUCAGGAUAGCUGGCGCUCAAGAGAUAACAGUCUCAUCCGGUAAAGCGAAUGAUUAGAGGCCUUGGGGCCGAAACGACCUCAACCUAUUCUCAAACUUUCAAUGGGUAAGAAGUCCGGCUUGCUCGACUGAAGCCCGGACCCACGGAUGCGAGUGCCCAGUGGGCCACUUUUGGUAAGCAGAACUGGCGCUGUGGGAUGAGCAAAACGCUGGGUUACGGCGCCCAAUGCGACGCUCAUGAGACACCAUGAAAGGUGUUGGUUGCUAUAGACAGCAGGACGGUGGCCAUGGAAGUCGGAAUCCGCUAAGGAGUGUGUAACAACUCACCUGCCGAAGCAACUAGCCCUGAAAAUGGAUGGCGCUCAAGCGUGGAGCCUAUACCCAGCCGUCGGAGCAGAGACCGUAGGACCUCUGAAGGGAGAGAAAAAAGAAUAAACCCUUUUUUUUCUUUUAAAAAAUUUUAAAAGAUCGUGGGGCUGCCGAUGCUCCGACGAGUAGGAGGGUCGCGGCGGUGAGCGUUGAAGGGUCGGGCGUAAGCCCGCCGGGAGCCGCCGUCGGUGCAGAUCUUGGUGGUAGUAGCAAAUACUCGAGUGAGAACCUCGAGGACUGAUGUGGAGAAGGGUUCCAUCUGAACAGCAGCUGAACAUGGGUCAUUCGUCCCUAAGGAAUAGGGGAAACCCGUUCCGACCGGGGGGGAAAAUAAAUUAAAAAACAAAUUUAUAAAGUUGUUAUUCCCCCCGCCGAGACCGAAAGGGAAUCGGGUUAAUAUUCCCGAACCCGGACACGGAGAUCGGGCCCUCGCGGUCCAGUGCGGUGACGCAAAUGAACUCGGAGACGUCGGCGGGAGUCCCAGGAAGAGUUGUCUUUUCUUUGUAAGGGACGGAAUCCCUGGAAUCGGCUCGCCCGGAGAUAGGGAUGUUGUUCCCGUAAAGCACCGCGCCUCCUGCGGUGUCUGGAGCGCUCCCGUCGGCCCUUGAAAAUCCAAGGGAGAAGGUGUGAUUUUCGUGCCGGGCCGUACCCAUAUCCGCAGCAGGUCU
This 1505-nucleotide ribosomal RNA is filed under the name Scutigerina weberi. RNAcentral describes it as "eukaryotic LSU rRNA". It matches the Rfam family "Eukaryotic large subunit ribosomal RNA", at positions 666 to 1866 of the family's 3401-position model. The record is from RNAcentral. Lineage: Eukaryota; Metazoa; Arthropoda; Chilopoda; Scutigeromorpha; Scutigerinidae.